UACGAGAGGCCCAAACGUUAUUCGGAUUUACUGGGCUUAAAGAGUUCGUAGGCGGUCCAUCAAGUGGGGUGUGAAAUCCCUCGGCUCAACCGAGGAAUUGCGCUCCAAACUGUUGGGCUCGAGGGAGAUAGAGGUGAGCGGAACUGAUGGUGGAGCGGUGAAAUGCGUUGAUAUCAUCAGGAACUCCAGAGGCGAAGGCGGCUCACUGGGUCUCUUCUGACGCUGAGGAACGAAAGCUAGGGGAGCAAACGGG
This 253-nucleotide ribosomal RNA is filed under the name uncultured bacterium. RNAcentral's name for it is "partial 16S ribosomal RNA". It matches the Rfam family "Bacterial small subunit ribosomal RNA", at positions 524 to 776 of the family's 1533-position model. The record is from RNAcentral.